RNAcentral lists this ribosomal RNA (440 nucleotides) under uncultured bacterium. Its description in RNAcentral is "partial 16S ribosomal RNA". It matches the Rfam family "Bacterial small subunit ribosomal RNA", at positions 338 to 795 of the family's 1533-position model. The record is from RNAcentral.
CCUACGGGAGGCAGCAGUGGGGAAUAUUGCACAAUGGGGGAAACCCUGAUGCAGCGACGCCGCGUGAGUGAAGAAGUAAUUCGGUAUGUAAAGCUCUAUCAGCAGGGAAGAAAAUGACGGUACCUGAGUAAGAAGCCCCGGCUAACUACGUGCCAGCAGCCGCGGUAAUACGUAGGGGGCAAGCGUUAUCCGGAUUUACUGGGUGUAAAGGGAGCGUAGACGGCAGUGCAAGUCUGGAGUGAAAGGCGGGGGCUCAACCCCCGGACUGCUCUGGAAACUGUACGGCUGGAGUGCAGGAGAGGUAAGUGGAAUUCCUGGUGUAGCGGUGAAAUGCGUAGAUAUUAGGAGGAACACCAGUGGCGAAGGCGGCUUACUGGACUGUAACUGACGUUGAGGCUCGAAAGCGUGGGGAGCAAACAGGAUUAGAUACCCGUGUAGUC